Long non-coding RNA from Megalobrama amblycephala (Wuchang bream), 3070 nucleotides. RefSeq lists it as uncharacterized. The record is from RefSeq and is a predicted model, not a curated record. The transcript has 5 exons. NCBI's taxonomy places the organism in Eukaryota, Metazoa, Chordata, Actinopteri, Cypriniformes, Xenocyprididae.
CCGCGCCGUGGAGGACAUCCGCAUUCAACUCCGCUUCUGUCAUGGGUUCGAUUCCCGCACUGAGCAGGCGAUUCGCCCGGAGCUGCGCACACCCUUCUCCUGCAUGGCGAAGAGCUGUAAUACACUGUUACAGAGAAAUAAUCAGAUGAACCUGACAAUUUCAGCCAGCUUUCACAAAUAGCUGAACGGACCCACCUGAAUGCGGGAGUGUGCCAGAAACACAUUUGUCUUCCAGUCGCUGGUCAGCCGGCGGUACUGAGAUGACUUUGAGUGCACAAAGUGCUUGCUGUGAGAUGAUCCACUAUCCGUCGAGGUGGAGUUCUGGAUGCAGUGAGAUGUUCUGGCCCACACGGAGAGGAUCUUCAACCUUUCUGCAGGUGGUGAGGCGCUUGCCGUAUGGCCCUUGGUCCAUUCGGCUCGUGAAGUGCAGAGGCUAGACGCUGUGGAUCCACAGAAGUCCUGAUGGCUCCCAUAGAGCCCGGGCCACUGCUGACCUCAUAGCUACUGGGGAUCUUCACACGGAUCAGAUCAGCAAUGGCUGCAACGACGUCAGUGAUGUUCUGAAAGAGCAAAGGAAAGUGCACAGUGAGGAAUUAGAAAAGUUUAAAUAGUAUUUCUCACAUUACUUGAAAUGUAUUAGAUAUGUUUACUGAUGCAAGCAACACUAUUCUUAUUGCUCAUACUUGCUCAUACUUUUUUUUUUCCUUGGCAAAACAACUCUAGCUAUUUAUACCAUUUGUACUCACUCCAUUCCUACUGACUGCUUGUGCCGUGAAUUUAAAUUAUCUGUCAAAUCUUGUGUCAAAGACACCCUUCUUUGCACCUAUUCUGUAGUAGGGAAAUUGUUGUACUUGUUCCUCUCUGUUUUGUUGUACUGUGUUGUUUUUUCUGUACUUCAUGUUCUUGUGCUGUCAAUCGAGACAAAUUCUGCAAGUACCUCUGCAGAAACAGUUUUUUUUUGGUAAACCAACACUGUUUCUCACCUCAGCAGCAGCUGGCUUCAGUGUGAUGGCAAUGGACACCAGCCCAGUGUUGGAACCAUUUUGUACCGAUCCAAACGGAGAGCCGAAGAACACUGAAGAAGGCUCCGUCUUGACCUCACGCACAAAGGGGAAGGAGCUAGUUACCUUUGCCCCUAAAGACAGGAAACAUUGGAAUUACUGGAGACAGGGCUGGAGAAGGAGGUUCCUCCUUGACCAAUGAGAGAUCUGGAUAGCGACUGAUUUCCAUGCCAACGACACUCUCUGGGGAAGACGAUGGGACAAAGCUGUCUGGGGUGUCUCUGUCUUCACAGUGCUCCUGUCCCCUCCAGAUCAUCUGACAGUAGCUGCUCACAUCUCAGCCUGCCUGACAGACAUUUCCUCCUGGAUGAAGGACCAUCUCCUUUAACUCAACCUUGCCAAGACAGAACUGCUUGUGGUUUUGACCAACCAAUCAUUUCAUCACAACUUCUUCAUUCAGCUAGGCUUAUACACCACAACUCCUUCCAGGACAGCCAGGAACCUUGGAGUUGUGAUUGAUGAUCAGCUAAACUUCACAGACCACAUUGCUAGAACUGCCCGGUCCUGCAGAUUUGCCUGAUAGAGCAUUAGGAAAAUCAGGCCCUUCCUAUCAGCGCAUGCAACACGACUCCUUGUCCAAGCUCUUGUUCUAUCCAGACUGGACUCUAUUGUAAUGCUCUCUUGGCAGGCCUUUUGGCAUGCAAACCUCUACAAGUGAUCCAAAAUGUGGCAGCAAGAGUGGUCUUCAAUGAGCCAAAGAGAGUUCAGGUCAUACCUCUCUUCAUCAGUUUGCACUGGUAGCCAAUAGUCACUCGCAUCAAAUUCAAGGCAUUAAUGUCUGCCUACAGAACAACCACUGGUUUUGCACUCCUAUACCUAAAUUCACUACUUCAGAUUUAUGUCCCCUCCAGAAGCUUGCAUUCUGAAAGUGAAUGGUGCCUUGUGGUGCCAUCCCAAAGAGGCACAAAAUCACUUUCAAGGACCUUUACCUCGACUGUUCCCUGCUGGUGGAAUGACCUGCCUAACUCAACAUGAGCAGCUUUAGCCUUUUUAAGAAACAGCAUCUUUUUUUUUUUUGACAACACUUGUCCCAUUAAUACUAACACUAAAUUUCUAUUCUAUUUUUUUUCUUUCUAUUUAUAAAAAAAAAAAAAAAAAAAAAAAAACUUACUUACAUAUUUUUGCUCUUUUGUUGGUUUAACUGCUUUUAUUGUUCUCAUUUGUAAGUCGCUUUGGACAAAAGUGUCUUCUAAAUGAUUAGAUGUAGUGUAAAUAUAAAAGAUUUUUAAAUAUAUAAAAAAUAAAGUCUCUUAUGUUCACCAAGGCUGCAUUUAUUUGAUCAAAAAUACAGUGAAACAGUAAUAUUGUGAGAUAUUAUUACAAUUCAAAAUAACUGUUUUCUAUUUUAUUAUAUUUUAAAAUGUAAUUUAUUCCUGUGAUGGCAAAGCAGCCAUUACUCUAGUCUCCCUAAUCAUUUUUAUAUCUGCUAGACCAGUGGUCGCCAACCCGUCGAUCUUUAUCACUGUUCCAGUAGCUCGUGAAAAUAACAGAAAUAUGAGUACAAAAAUACAUUACAUUUCACCAGUCUUUGUACUGUAUUUUUGUAUUUAUUUUAUGUUAUUUUUGGGAGCUACUGGGACAGACAGAUAGAGGUAAAUAGCCCACAUCAUGUCUGAGUCUGUAAAUGGCCGUUAACAGAGACGAGACGAAUGGCCAGUAACAAAUGGCCAGAGACGCUGAAGACAGACGCGAAGAGGAGAAAAUUCUGUAGCAGGCAGAGCAGCUCACUGUUCACGAUGCUCGAAAUAUAGGAAGAAAAUAUAAAUAUUGAAUUGGGGGUGAGGGCUUAUAUGAAUGCAUCUCUAAAAGGAGAUCAGUUUUCAGAAAGAUAUUGAUGGCAAUGGCAUUUUAUUUUCCUCUUACCUUAGAAUAAAGUAGCUAAUUAUUAGCGCAUUUAAGCUUUGUUUACAGCGGUAACCAAGGAAACACCGUAUCACUGCUGCUCCAUAAGCGCCACCUGCUGUUGAAUUUACGUCCCAUUCAGCCUGCUGUUUUUGUUUCAUGCUUUU